Marmota monax (woodchuck) is the source of this 367-nucleotide long non-coding RNA. RefSeq lists it as uncharacterized. The transcript has 2 exons. The record is from RefSeq and is a predicted model, not a curated record. Lineage: Eukaryota; Metazoa; Chordata; Mammalia; Rodentia; Sciuridae.
GGCCGAGCCCCCGGAAGCCUCACCUCCUGCACCAUCACGGCCGUGCACGCCUUGGGCUCUCCCUAACGGGCCAGGCCGCCCUCCGCUCCCUGAAGAAGAUGUGGAAAAGACCCAUCUCGGCCUUCAACUGGAACUUGGUGGGAUUCUUUUCCAUCCAGCUGCCAAGCACCCAGCUGACCCGAGAGCCACUCUCUGCGAACUCCUCAGACCCUUCCUCGGAGACCCCCUUCUCCAGGACACAGUGAGCAUGCUGGUUCCCAGAGAAUGGUUUAGGUCAUGAGUCAUUCCGUGGUGCCACAAUUUCUCCUGCAGUUUCCUUGUUCCUUGGGAAAUGAUUAAAUAAAGAAGCCGUGUAUCAGCAGUCAGA